AUUGAACGCUGGCGGAAUGCUUUACACAUGCAAGUCGAACGGCAGCACGGGGGCAACCCUGGUGGCGAGUGGCGAACGGGUGAGUAAAGCAUCGGAACGUACCGUGUAGUGGGGGAUAACGUAGCGAAAGUUACGCUAAUACCGCAUACGCACUGAGGUGGAAAGCAGGGGAUCGAAAGACCUUGCGCUAUACGAGCGGCCGAUGUCAGAUUAGCUAGUUGGUAGGGUAAAGGCCUACCAAGGCGACGAUCUGUAGCGGGUCUGAGAGGAUGAUCCGCCACACUGGGACUGAGACACGGCCCAGACUCCUACGGGAGGCAGCAGUGGGGAAUUUUGGACAAAUGGACGGCAAGUCUGAUCCAGCAAUGCCGCGUGCAGGACGAAGGCCUCGGUUGGUAACGUAG
This 404-nucleotide ribosomal RNA is filed under the name uncultured bacterium. RNAcentral describes it as "bacterial SSU rRNA". It matches the Rfam family "Bacterial small subunit ribosomal RNA", at positions 29 to 435 of the family's 1533-position model. The record is from RNAcentral.